This 1047-nucleotide ribosomal RNA is filed under the name Escherichia coli. Its description in RNAcentral is "partial 23S ribosomal RNA". It matches the Rfam family "Bacterial large subunit ribosomal RNA", at positions 101 to 1191 of the family's 2925-position model. Lineage: Bacteria; Pseudomonadati; Pseudomonadota; Gammaproteobacteria; Enterobacterales; Enterobacteriaceae. The record is from RNAcentral.
UAACCGGCGAUUUCCGAAUGGGGAAACCCAGUGUGUUUCGACACACUAUCAUUAACUGAAUCCAUAGGUUAAUGAGGCGAACCGGGGGAACUGAAACAUCUAAGUACCCCGAGGAAAAGAAAUCAACCGAGAUUCCCCCAGUAGCGGCGAGCGAACGGGGAGGAGCCCAGAGCCUGAAUCAGUGUGUGUGUUAGUGGAAGCGUCUGGAAAGGCGUGCGAUACAGGGUGACAGCCCCGUACACAAAAAUGCACAUACUGUGAGCUCGAUGAGUAGGGCGGGACACGUGGUAUCCUGUCUGAAUAUGGGGGGACCAUCCUCCAAGGCUAAAUACUCCUGACUGACCGAUAGUGAACCAGUACCGUGAGGGAAAGGCGAAAAGAACCCCGGCGAGGGGAGUGAAAAAGAACCUGAAACCGUGUACGUACAAGCAGUGGGAGCCUCUUUAUGGGGUGACUGCGUACCUUUUGUAUAAUGGGUCAGCGACUUAUAUUCUGUAGCAAGGUUAACCGAAUAGGGGAGCCGAAGGGAAACCGAGUCUUAACUGGGCGUUAAGUUGCAGGGUAUAGACCCGAAACCCGGUGAUCUAGCCAUGGGCAGGUUGAAGGUUGGGUAACACUAACUGGAGGACCGAACCGACUAAUGUUGAAAAAUUAGCGGAUGACUUGUGGCUGGGGGUGAAAGGCCAAUCAAACCGGGAGAUAGCUGGUUCUCCCCGAAAGCUAUUUAGGUAGCGCCUCGUGAAUUCAUCUCCGGGGGUAGAGCACUGUUUCGGCAAGGGGGUCAUCCCGACUUACCAACCCGAUGCAAACUGCGAAUACCGGAGAAUGUUAUCACGGGAGACACACGGCGGGUGCUAACGUCCGUCGUGAAGAGGGAAACAACCCAGACCGCCAGCUAAGGUCCCAAAGUCAUGGUUAAGUGGGAAACGAUGUGGGAAGGCCCAGACAGCCAGGAUGUUGGCUUAGAAGCAGCCAUCAUUUAAAGAAAGCGUAAUAGCUCACUGGUCGAGUCGGCCUGCGCGGAAGAUGUAACGGGGCUAAACCAUG